UUGCUUGCCAUGAACAUCUCAAGAGAAAAUGAAAAGAAUGGCAUGAUCAGAAGUUGAGCAGUGUACAUCCUGCACAGCCAAAUGCAACAGGUCUUUUCCAGAGUCUGCUGCCACUCGGAUCCGUCCUUCUGCACAACCCAUGCUGUCAACCAGGAGCUAUUCUGUCCCCACCGACUCAACGAGGCAGCAACCAGUUCUGUACAUGAAGAUUCCAAGGGAUCCCAAAUGGCACGUGUUAGAACAGACACUAUCCAAGAAGGAAAGGACAUAUCUGUCAACCAUGCUACAAGUGUCAUGCCACCAUGGAAGUUGAUUGCUAGAUACUGAGCUGGCAUACACCACACACACACACACACACACACACACACACACACACACACGCUGAAGCAUCCUCAGAAUUCCUGCAACUCCAAGGUUCAAACGUCCAAGAAGAAUACUGUGGGGUGAGGACUGUGUGCUUGGCCAGGCUCUUUGGAGCCUACUUGGUGUCUCUGAAGGACUGGAAAUAGAAUUUGCUUUCAGUUAAAGGAGCCCUAAUACCAGUCUCUGCCAGAAUGCCAGAAGUUACAAAUCCUCAUGCCCUGUCCACCCUCUCUCCAGUGGAGACUCUUUGUGUGUGUGUGUGUGUGUGUGUGUGUGUGUGUGUGUUUUCCUGUUCAGUGUUUUUUCUUUUUCUUUUUUUUAUUAUACUUUAAGUUUUAG
This 702-nucleotide long non-coding RNA is filed under the name Homo sapiens (human). RNAcentral describes it as "HSALNT0265359". The record is from RNAcentral. Lineage: Eukaryota; Metazoa; Chordata; Mammalia; Primates; Hominidae.